AGUGCAUCGUGAGUGUUGCUGGUGGGGCCACUCGGGCUGCCCUGACCGUGCACCAGGCUCGCAGGAACAACAUGGCUGACGUGUCAGCCAAGGACAGCAGCCAGGAGACGCUGGUGAACCUGGCGGGGCUCUUGGUCAGCCUCCUGAUGCUCCCUCUGGUGUCAGGUUGCCCUGGGUAAGCCGGAAGCAGGGUGGGCAGGAGAACCCCAGCUGGGCCUCUGCCCACUUCAGCUACCUCACUCUCUCACCCCAGCUUCAGCCUUGGAUGUUUCUUCUUCCUCACUGCCCUCCACAUCUACGCCAACUACCGCGCGGUCCGAGCCCUGGUCAUGGAGACCUUGAAUGAAGGCCGGCUCCGGCUGGUCCUGAAGCACUACCUUCAGAGGGGAGAGGUACUCGACCCAACUGCAGCCAAUCGCAUGGAGCCGCUGUGGACAGGUGACCCUGCCCCUGGUCUCGGGUCCUGUGUCUCAGCCUCUCCCACUGCCUAGGCAUCCUGACCCCAGCUUCCCACAGGUUUCUGGCCAGCUCCGUCUCUAUCCCUAGGGGUCCCCUUACACCGCUUGGUCUCCAGGUGAGUGGCCUAGCGUCUCCCACUCGUCACCACCGCCACCCACACUCCCCGCACACACCCCUCACUCCGAUUACACACUGGCCUCCCUGGCAAGGCCCCACCUCUCUGUCCUGGGUUCUUCAUUGCUGCUGAACAGACAUGGGGUUGGUGUGGGUGUGUGAGGAAGGAAAGGGUGUAUAACAUGAAGCAGAUGUAAGAGAUGUGCUUGAUGGGUGAAGGAAGGAUGGGUAGAUGGGGAAGUUGGAUGACUGGAUACAGGAAGAAAGGAUGGAUUUGGUGUG
RNAcentral lists this small RNA (855 nucleotides) under Pan troglodytes (chimpanzee). Its description in RNAcentral is "retained intron". Lineage: Eukaryota; Metazoa; Chordata; Mammalia; Primates; Hominidae. The record is from RNAcentral.